UCCACGGUCCGAGAAGUUUUUUCCCCCUGCAAAUUUUAACGUCAAAUGACGUCGCAAAAUUAACUAUCGCGAAAAAGGUGUGCGUGCAAACAGUGUACCAUCUGUACGCUAUCAAUCAUAAUUACACCGAGGCUGAGCGUGGAUAUGCUCCCUUGCUUUCGGAGAGGCAAGCCCACACCAUCAACUUGAGGAACUCAGAUGUAAACCUACAGUCCCCUCCCGGAUCAUCAGGAUCAUUAAACAGCUGUGGUGGUCCCUCCCCUGCUGGAGGAGCUCAGCUCAGCCAUCCCAGAAAUGAAGGAUGACGGAGAGAGGUGUUCUGGGAGUGGUGAGGGAGCCAGGUGAGGGAGCCAGGUUUGGAUGGAGCAAAAACCAGGACCGUCUCCGGCACUCCAGGACCGGGGCUGCCUAUCUGCCUACAAUCUGCCCUUAACGUGCGGUCCACUGAGAAGCUCUCCCACAUAACGGCGUAUCUGUAGCACCUUUAUAAGGACAGCUACCUGGUUACCUCGGGUCACCUGAGUUCUGUGAGAGAAGCAGACCCACUCUGACCUGGAGGUCCUGUGAUGGGACGUCGGAGGUCAUGUGCUGACAUGGCGACCUGAGCUGAGGAAACACCACGUUCUGCAGGAACCAACAACACAACUCUGACUGUAACCUGCCAUAACCAAUCAGAUAGCAGGAUUGUUCGGUGGAAGGCAAACUCACAAACAACUUCCCUCUCCAUCUGCUGGAGAGAUCUGCCGCCCGGUCAGGCAGAAAAUUAAAAUGUUUGUGUUUCUCUUUUUUCAUUCAAGGUCAUCUG
Long non-coding RNA from Conger conger (European conger), 805 nucleotides. RefSeq lists it as uncharacterized. The record is from RefSeq and is a predicted model, not a curated record. The transcript has 4 exons. Lineage: Eukaryota; Metazoa; Chordata; Actinopteri; Anguilliformes; Congridae.